GCAACCGUUUUUUUUUUAUUUUUUCUUUUAUGCUCUUUUGCACUCUCAUCUUGCCUGUUGUCAGUGUACUUCUGUUUUCUGCAGGCCUGCAAUGUGUAAAAUAACUGCAUUAUCUCUCUUUUUAAUAUGCUGCCUGAAAUGACCAAGGCUAAAAUUUAAGGAAAGUCCGUCAGCCAGUGUUUCAUUGCAAAACAAACUGGACAGAAGUAUAAU
RNAcentral lists this long non-coding RNA (213 nucleotides) under Prunus persica (peach). RNAcentral describes it as "long non-coding RNA (PPER_LNC000551)". The record is from RNAcentral. Lineage: Eukaryota; Viridiplantae; Streptophyta; Magnoliopsida; Rosales; Rosaceae.